Magnolia sinica is the source of this 584-nucleotide long non-coding RNA. RefSeq lists it as uncharacterized. NCBI's taxonomy places the organism in Eukaryota, Viridiplantae, Streptophyta, Magnoliopsida, Magnoliales, Magnoliaceae. The record is from RefSeq and is a predicted model, not a curated record. The transcript is spliced from 3 exons.
CACAGAGAGAUUGGUGGCGAAAUGUUAAACACGGAUGCUACAAUGACCAUUGUUAGCCUAUUGCAGUUUUUCAUGGAAGGAAACCUAAUUGCAAUUCAGAGCACAUUCCUGCAACUUCAAUGUUAAGAAUAGAGAAAUUGGGAUUAGAAAGCAAAGGGGGGAAAGUUGUAAAUAUUGGAACCAUUUUGUGUUGCUGGAGCUUUGACCAUAUUAGCCUCUAUAGAGGAAUGCCCUUGCACAUGUGGACUUCUCAUGUGCAUAAUCGUCAGAUUUUCAUGAAAAAGAGGACACCCAGUGAGAUGGCACGCUUCUCGUUUAUGUUGGUCGGAUGCUGCUGUACUACUUGGUAUAUUGUACAUGUAUACUUAUUGAGGUGUCAUAGAAUGUUUGUAUUCACUUUGUGCAAGUAGAAGGCUCAUUUAUAUGAUGGGCCCACCGUGGAUCUGGCCCAUGCAUAAAAAAUCCUAAAGGAAAUCUAGGAGAUUUUUAGCACGUGGUCAUUGAAAUUCACAGAAGUAACUUUCAUGUUAUUUCGAAUUAAUACCUUUUAAUUAACACUAAUUUUUCUCUAAUGCUCUCAUGCU